GAUCCCGUAGCUCAGUCGGUAGAGCAAUUGACUUUUAAUCAAUGUGUCGCGCGUUCGAUUCGCGCCGGGAUCA
Molecule: transfer RNA, 73 nt
Filed under: Candidatus Neoehrlichia procyonis str. RAC413
Lineage: Bacteria; Pseudomonadati; Pseudomonadota; Alphaproteobacteria; Rickettsiales; Anaplasmataceae
Description: Candidatus Neoehrlichia lotoris str. RAC413 tRNA
Rfam family: tRNA
About the family: Transfer RNA (tRNA) molecules are approximately 80 nucleotides in length. Their secondary structure includes four short double-helical elements and three loops (D, anti-codon, and T loops).
Source: Rfam by way of RNAcentral